This is a long non-coding RNA of Oncorhynchus keta (chum salmon), 218 nucleotides long. RefSeq lists it as uncharacterized. The record is from RefSeq and is a predicted model, not a curated record. NCBI's taxonomy places the organism in Eukaryota, Metazoa, Chordata, Actinopteri, Salmoniformes, Salmonidae. The transcript is spliced from 3 exons.
AUGGGUGGUGUUGGCUCACCCAGGGGGUAGUGUAAUGGGUGGUGUUGGCUCACCCAGGGGGUAGUGUAAUGGGUGGUGUUAGCUCACCCAGGGGGUAGUGUAAUGGGUGGUGUUAACUCACCCAGGGGGUAGUGUAAUGGGUGGUGUUAACUCACCCAGGGGGUAGUGUAAUGGGUGGUGUUAACUCACCCAGGGGGUAGUGUAAUGGGUGGUGUUAA